UGAAGUAUUAGCAUUGUCAUGUUGCA
RNAcentral lists this non-coding RNA (26 nucleotides) under Mus musculus (house mouse). The record is from RNAcentral. Lineage: Eukaryota; Metazoa; Chordata; Mammalia; Rodentia; Muridae.